This 404-nucleotide ribosomal RNA is filed under the name Acidobacteriota bacterium. RNAcentral describes it as "Acidobacteria bacterium partial 16S ribosomal RNA". It matches the Rfam family "Bacterial small subunit ribosomal RNA", at positions 355 to 776 of the family's 1533-position model. The record is from RNAcentral. Lineage: Bacteria; Pseudomonadati; Acidobacteriota.
CGGGGAAUAUUGGACAAUGGGGGCAACCCUGAUCCAGCAAUGCCGCGUGUGUGAAGAAGGUCUUCGGAUUGUAAAGCACUUUCGACGGGGACGAUGAUGACGGUACCCGUAGAAGAAGCCCCGGCUAACUUCGUGCCAGCAGCCGCGGUAAUACGAAGGGGGCUAGCGUUGCUCGGAAUGACUGGGCGUAAAGGGCGUGUAGGCGGUUUGUACAGUCAGAUGUGAAAUCCCCGGGCUUAACCUGGGAGCUGCAUUUGAUACGUGCAGACUAGAGUGUGAGAGAGGGUUGUGGAAUUCCCAGUGUAGAGGUGAAAUUCGUAGAUAUUGGGAAGAACACCGGUGGCGAAGGCGGCAACCUGGCUCAUUACUGACGCUGAGGCGCGAAAGCGUGGGGAGCAAACAGG